This 250-nucleotide ribosomal RNA is filed under the name uncultured Lactobacillus sp. Its description in RNAcentral is "partial 16S ribosomal RNA". It matches the Rfam family "Bacterial small subunit ribosomal RNA", at positions 112 to 354 of the family's 1533-position model. The record is from RNAcentral. Lineage: Bacteria; Bacillati; Bacillota; Bacilli; Lactobacillales; Lactobacillaceae.
AACACGUGGGGAACCUGCCCCAUAGUCUGGGAUACCACUUGGAAACAGGUGCUAAUACCGGAUAAGAAAGCGGAUCGCAUGAUCAGCUUUUAAAAGGCGGCGUAAGCUGUCGCUAUGGGAUGGCCCCGCGGUGCAUUAGCUAGUUGGUAAGGUAAAGGCUUACCAAGGCGAUGAUGCAUAGCCGAGUUGAGAGACUGAUCGGCCACAUUGGGACUGAGACACGGCCCAAACUCCUACGGGAGGCAGCAGG